This is a long non-coding RNA of Nannospalax galili (Upper Galilee mountains blind mole rat), 1594 nucleotides long. RefSeq lists it as uncharacterized. The record is from RefSeq and is a predicted model, not a curated record. NCBI's taxonomy places the organism in Eukaryota, Metazoa, Chordata, Mammalia, Rodentia, Spalacidae. The transcript has 3 exons.
CUGGACUCUUCUGGGAUCAAAUGCAGGUGUCUCAGUCAGAGAAGCUGGAGAAGAAAGCCUGUCAGCACCGAGCAGACUGCCAGGUCAAGGGCCUUUCACAAAACCCUCAUCUCAGCAUUUUGGCUAGCCCGACGGGCCACGGUGUAGCACGUCUCUGUUUCUGAGGGCCAGGCUGCUCAGUCUUCCUAAUGUGUCCCUCCCUCUACUCUCUCCUCAAUCAGGUGUGUCUUCCUGGAAACCAGAACAGGAACUCUCAGGGGAGGUGUGUGAACGUGGCAUUUGGCCCAUUAGUGAAUAGUAGGUCGGUUUAUUAGACGAUGAAGACUUCCUUUGUUAAAAUAAUUUCCAAAGAAGAGACGGGGGCCGGGGGAGGGGCAGAAGGGUCAGAAACAAAGAGAAGAAUGGGGAGUUCAUUGCACAAAGUAGCACUUCAGCCUCGUAAUGCCCGCUAGCACUAGUUCUGAGCUUCCUGUGUUUAGAUAAGGUGAAGUGGCAGUUUAUGUGCUUAUACGUUGCUGAUUUUGUGACUCGGUUUAGGUAAUACAGGUGCUUUACUGGUACAGAGGUGUUGGCUUAGCCUUGUCAGAGGGUUACAUCACAGCUUGUUCCACCAGGGUCCUUGACGGCUGAUUCAGCGGUAGUGUUAAAGCAGUCUGAAAACCGUGAGGACUCUUCCCCAUCCAGUGCGUGCACCAGGGAUCUGGCCUCCGUGCUCCUUCACCCACAAUGGCCAGCUCCGCCAUAUUCAGAUCUUGGGAUUCCUACGCAAAAUGACUUUGUUACAAAUCAAAAAUUUAAAUGUCCUGGGGGAUUGUAGAACAGGAGCUGCUUGUGAGGAAAGGUUGUGUGGCUCACCUGGUGGAUGGACUUAGCUCAAGUGAACUUGACAAACGUUUGGCAAGUGAACUCAGGCACUCUUGGCAGUGUCCACACCCCUGGAAGAACCCAUCAGUAUCUUUGAUCUGAUCUAGUGAUGAUGGGGCUUUACAGAUCCUGAUGGUUGUGUGUGUGGAGGGCUUACUGAGUUCGGCAGAGCUUGCUAAGUAAGCAGUUUCCUAUCACCACUAAACAACCUAGGGAACUUAUAAAUAACAGAUGCUCCCCAACUGCCACAUUGCUUAGAGCUUGGCCUAAAGACAGAUGAGUGUUCAGACUUGAAGCACUUUCUCAAAUGCGCUUUAGAAAAGAACAUUGACUUAAGGUGAUGAAGAAGGACCGCUAACCACCGAUCCAGGCACUUGGCUGGACUUUCUGCAGUCCCAGAGUCGCCAAGUAGCUCUUCUUCCAGGCUCCGUGACAGGUUUGCUUUUAACUGCCAGGGUUUAGAUCCGUGCACCGAGAUGGAUUCUAAAAGCUCGAAGCCACCCAGCACUUUUCCAAAAUGCUUCGACCCCCGAUGGCUGACAAGUCUGUGUUUGUCUGCAUCUCCCUGUGUCAUCACAAGGGGGCCAGGACCUCCCGUAGAGCUAAGUUCUGAUGUCCCCUCCAGGCUUGUCUAUGUCCAGAUGGCAGUGCUGCCUUCCUGUAGUCCAAAGAGACACAUCCAGCUCCCCUCUCAGCUCUAGGGUUUCUUCAGGGAGAGAAUGUGGUUUUG